Long non-coding RNA from Macaca fascicularis (crab-eating macaque), 3173 nucleotides. Lineage: Eukaryota; Metazoa; Chordata; Mammalia; Primates; Cercopithecidae. The record is from Ensembl.
GCAGAGGUUGCAGUGAGCCGAGAUCGUGCCAUUGCACUCCAGCCUGAGUAACGGAGCGAGACUCUGUCUCAAAAAAAAAAAAAAAAAAAAAAAAAUCCUAACUUUUUUAGUUUCAACUGAGAUAUGCCACUGUAGAAGUGAAAGUAAUUUCACAUUUAAGAAAUGCUUCAACUUGGUAAUUAAUAUGGUCAUACAGGGACUUGGUAUAGCAUGCAAGGAAGCAGAAGACCUGGGCUUUUGUCCAAGUUCUGCCACUUAGUUAUCAGCUGUGUUGUAACCUUGAAUAAGUCACUUACUCUUUCUGACUCUUAGUUUCCUCAUUUGUAAAUUUGGAUUAAAGUGUUUAUUAUGAUAAUCAACUAAGAAAAACAAUCUAUUAACACUUCAUACAUACAGAGAACUUAUCAUUAAGUUAAAACUGGUAAUUAACGAAUGCACCUUUAUAUAUAUUUUUAAAUGAAAACUAAUACUAUUCAUGGUGUUUAUUUUAUAUCAAAUAUAUGCCUAGAGGCAUGCUACUUUAAAAAUCCGAGGAAUCUCCAACAAGGUGCUGGAUUAAAAUCAGAAUUCGUGCUUGAAGUGGAAGAAAAAUGAGGUUGUUUAUGGAUAAGAGAGUGACAAUGUGUAUCCUCAAGUACGUUAAGAUGAUUUAACUGAAAGAUGGCUUUAGGUUUUUCUUGAAGAAUUAGGAAAGUACCAUCCCCACAGAUUCUGCAUACUCUUCAGGUACUAUAUAAAGGUGAAGGAAGUCAUGGAAUUAAAAUGACUUAGAAACUCCCCAGGGAACUUGUCAGGCGAAUGAGGUGGUUAGAAGGGUGAGAAUGCACAAAGACAGCUGCUCUGGGUUGGGUAACAACAGCUUGCUUGGUAGAGAGAAGCUACUGUAGGAAAGGAGGCUCCACCAGACGUCUGCAACAGACAAGAUUCUUUCUGCCUUUUUCAAAAGAUGCUCUCUGCAGCAGUAAGACUAUAGGUAGAGUUGAUUGGAAUAAUCAUGUGACCCAGUAUGCUACUGCUAGGCGUAAUUAUCAAAAAUUCAUUUUUCUCAUUAAAUAUUAAUACAGAGAGAAGCUAGAGCUCACCAGUCUUUUCCUGGUGUCCUAGACCUUCCUCUAAAGCAGUCUUGGGGAGCUUGAGCCUCAGAUCUUUAGCCUAGACAGAGUGUCGCUGGUAAAGAAAGGAGACACAGUUGAAACCCAGAGUGGGCAGUGAUUUGCGUGGGGAGACACAGUGGAUCUGGGGCCUCUGACACUUUGCUUCCUAAAACAGUCCCCGGUUUUUGGCUUGCCCUAUGGGAUGAUUUGCUGUGCUUCCUUGAAACCAGGUGGAAAGAAAGGGGAAGAAUUAAUUUUCUCAUUCUGUUGCUGUUGAACGUAAUGUAAUCUUAAUACUGUAGCCUUCCUAGAAGCCCUUCCCUCUUUUCCAUGCUAUAAAGUCAAAUAUUUGAUACCCUUAGCAUAAAUUUUAAAAAUUAAGGUCAUUAGGAAGCAAAUGUCUAUUUCCAAAGCAAUUAGCUUGUUGUGACUGACUGUGAUUUUAUUCUUCUAUAGUAUUUUUUCCCUCAUUUUAAUUGAGAGAAAAUAAUACUCUUUUGCAAUAUCCUUAGAUUCUCCCCCUCACCCUGGUGCCCCUUCUAGUGUCUUGAGACUUUGUCUUAACAAGUAUAACGUUACAUUUUGUUGUUAAAACCUUUUCGAAACUAUAUUCAGUGAUUCUUCCAAGUUUAUCUGCUCUGCACUAUUUCACUAAUAAAUCCUGGCUACCACGUAGCCCUUGACCUCCAAGUAGUUUACCUAUGCAAGACAUGUGACACUCUGAAUUCACUUCUCUUUCUUUCAGAAACUAGUCAUAAAUGGAGCUUAAUUAUAAAGGUAAAACUUGUCUCCAGCCAGUUUUAUUUUGACCAGUUCCUUUUCAAAAUGUCAGCUGUUUUCUCCAAGAUUUUUCACCAAAACAGUGAUCAUAAGUGCUCAAAAAUAUAAUACUUUGCAGGCAUAAAAUAACCCAGACAUACUCUCAUAUUUCUUUGAUGUAUUUUGGUUGGUAAAACUUACCAGCAUUAAAUGUAAAAUAUAAUGAGGAGUUAAUUCCUUACCUAGUAUCAUUUCUUCCUUCUAAGAUUCAUAAGUAACCAUUUAUUUUUACAAAACUAUGUAUAACUUCCACAUUAUAGUCAGGAACCUGAGGUGUAACUUGCUAAGUGAACCCCAAGGUUAUUUUAUCUUGCAAAAGAAACCUAAACCAAACUAAGGGCCUUACAGUUUACAGUUAGAUUGAAUCAAAAGCUAUAACCUCAAUUUUUCCAAAAACAGCUUCUGACUGCAAAAGCAAGUCAUACAGUUGUUAGGUAUGAAAUAGCACUGAUCAGGAAAUGCAUCUUCACAGAUGGGAUUUCCUUCAGAAAAGACUUUUCUACUUUUAAUAGAAAUUAAGCCAUAACAGUUUCAUGCUGUGGAAAGAGGGUGAAAAGGUUCAUUUUAAGAGAUUAUAUAAUAUGAACUUUCACAUUUACUGUGAAAUGUCUAACUUUGCCAGUGCUUCAGCAAGGUUUUUUGGGGGGUGAUGGGGAGGGGUAGUAUUGGUUUUAGGGGUUUCAAAUCUGUGAAAUUUGGAGAGGGGACAGUUGUUGGCUCUGGUAUUUACUAGUUUUGUAGGAACGUUUUGCUAGCCUGACUGACUUUUCUUACUGAUUUUUAUGCCCACGGUCUGAGGGGACUGUUCUCCUUGUUUGGGGUGUCUGCGGAAUAGUGUCUCGUCUGUUUGUAUAGGCAGUCAGUGUGUGUGACGUGUGUCCUUUCAGUCCGGAAGCCCACUGUGUGACAAUGGCAUGGGGUGUGGCUGGGAGGUGGGGUGCUGAAGCUUGAAGAGCAUUUCUUUGCUGAUUCAUAACAGUAUUUCCCAUCUUUUGCCUGCAGGCAGGGAAAGUGUACAGUAUUUAUUUUGUUUCUGUUUUACUUUAAAUUUGUAAGUCUUUAAGUAGCUUACAUUGAUUAUUAUAGGGGAGGACAAGUGACUUGUUUAAAGUUGUAUUUAGUAUUCUUUGCAAUUUCUGUAUUUUAAAAUAUUGAAAUUAAAAUUGUAUUACUUCUGUUUUGAUUUUUUUAGCACUCAGUGUAUUUUUUGCUCAUUUUGUUUGAAAGUAUAAAUGUUGAAACUUGUAUAAAAUGCGUCCU